AGAGUUUGAUCCUGGCUCAGAAUCAACGCUGGCGGCGUGCCUAACACAUGCAAGUCGCACGAGAAAGGGGCUUCGGCUCUGAGUAAAGUGGCGCACGGGUGAGUAACACGUGAAUCAUCUACCUCCGAAUGGGGAAUAACUGAGAGAAAUCUUAGCUAAUACCGCAUAAUACCUACGGGUCAAAGCAGCAAUGCGUUUGGAGAGGAGUUCGCGGUCGAUUAGUUAGUUGGCGGGGUAAUGGCCCACCAAGACGAUGAUCGAUAUCCGGCCUGAGAGGGCGCACGGACACACUGGAACUGAAACACGGUCCAGACUCCUACGGGAGGCAGCAGUGGGGAAUUUUGCGCAAUGGGGGAAACCCUGACGCAGCAACGCCGCGUGGAGGAUGAAAUAUCUUGGUAUGUAAA
This 407-nucleotide ribosomal RNA is filed under the name uncultured bacterium. RNAcentral describes it as "bacterial SSU rRNA". It matches the Rfam family "Bacterial small subunit ribosomal RNA", at positions 8 to 429 of the family's 1533-position model. The record is from RNAcentral.